This 317-nucleotide ribosomal RNA is filed under the name uncultured bacterium. Its description in RNAcentral is "bacterial SSU rRNA". It matches the Rfam family "Bacterial small subunit ribosomal RNA", at positions 28 to 326 of the family's 1533-position model. The record is from RNAcentral.
GAUGAACGCUGGCGGCGUGCUUAACACAUGCAAGUCGAACGAAGCACUUUAUUUGAUUUCCUUCGGGACUGAAGAUUUUGUGACUGAGUGGCGGACGGGUGAGUAACGCGUGGGUAACCUGCCUCAUACAGGGGGAUAACAGCUGGAAACGGCUGCUAAUACCGCAUAAGCGCACAGUGCUGCAUGGCACAGUGUGAAAAACUCCGGUGGUAUGAGAUGGACCCGCGUCUGAUUAGCCAGUUGGCAGGGUAACGGCCUACCAAAGCGACGAUCAGUAGCCGACCUGAGAGGGUGACCGGCACAUUGGGACUGAGACA